AUUCUCCUUCUCUCCCAGCCACACACACACACACACACACACACACACACACACACACACACACCCUUAUUUAUUUUUCUCUUUGGCUAGACCUUUGUUUACUGUUUAAGAUACAGUAAACUCUGAUACAGACUAGCGAACCUCAUGUUAGCACCAACUAAGAUUUAACACAACUGGCAAUUGGCUAUCUCCUUCCCUUCAUCCCAGCCCUUGUCCUUGUUUUAUUAGCUCUACAACAAUGAGAUCCCACAUACAUGAUUGAAUUUGUUAGACUCCUACAUACAGCUUUAUAAUAGAGUUUGGCUGUAAUUAAUUAGCUUUGCUUGAUUAUGACUCAUUUCCCUUUUCUUCUCCUUUCCUCCCAGGCAUAAAAAGCCAAAAUGGUGAGUUCUGAUUUGCUUUUCUGUGUCUGAGGAGAUUCCUGUGAUGGCAGGAAGAGCUUUUUACUAUGGAUGGAUUUUUCCAUCUCCUCCCUGGGCUGCCAAAAUGCUAGCUUAGAUCCAUUUUCCCCAAAUUGGGGGCUGUUAAUGAUAGUUUUCAGGAUUUUGGCCACCUAACUUUCCCACCUCCAAUGCAAUCCCUUUUUACCUAGGAAUCUUCUAUUCAUGGG
Molecule: long non-coding RNA, 610 nt
Filed under: Homo sapiens (human)
Lineage: Eukaryota; Metazoa; Chordata; Mammalia; Primates; Hominidae
Description: HSALNT0326575
Source: RNAcentral